This 378-nucleotide unclassified non-coding RNA is filed under the name uncultured Parachlamydiaceae bacterium. RNAcentral's name for it is "contains 16S-23S intergenic spacer region". The record is from RNAcentral. Lineage: Bacteria; Pseudomonadati; Chlamydiota; Chlamydiia; Parachlamydiales; Parachlamydiaceae.
UCCUGGUUAACCCAGGCAGUCUCAUUAGAGUUCCCACCAUAACGUGUUGGCAAAUAAUGAUAAGGGUUGCGCUCGUUGCGGGACUUAACCCAACACCUCACGGCACGAGCUGACGACAGCCAUGCAGCACCUGUGCACUGGUCCCGAAGGAACGCAUCAUUUCUGAUGUUGUCCAGUGCAUGUCAAACCUGGGUAAGGUUCUUCGCGUUGCAUCGAAUUAAACCACAUGCUCCACUGCUUGUGCGGGUCCCCGUCAAUUCUUUUGAGUUUCAGCCUUGCGACUGUACUCCCCAGGCGGUAUACUUAUCGCGUUAGCUACGGCACAGCCGGGGUUGAAUCCAGCUACACCAAGUAUACAUCGUUUACGGCAAGGACUAC